RNAcentral lists this ribosomal RNA (253 nucleotides) under uncultured bacterium. Its description in RNAcentral is "partial 16S ribosomal RNA". It matches the Rfam family "Bacterial small subunit ribosomal RNA", at positions 524 to 776 of the family's 1533-position model. The record is from RNAcentral.
UACAGAGGUCCCAAGCGUUGUUCGGAUUCACUGGGCGUAAAGGGUGCGUAGGUGGCUGAGUAAGUCUGAUGUGAAAUCUCCGGGCCCAACCCGGAAAUGGCAUUAGAAACUACUCGGCUUGAGGCUUGGAGGGGGAACUGGAAUUCUCGGUGUAGCAGUGAAAUGCGUAGAGAUCGAGAGGAACACCAGUGGCGAAGGCGAGUUCCUGGACAAGUCCUGACACUGAGGCACGAAAGCCAGGGGAGCAAACAGG